AGAGUUUGAUCAUGGCUCAGGAUGAACGCUAAGCGGCAGGCCUAAUACAUGCAAGUCGAGCGGCAAGUUGAGUAGUAAUACUUAGCCUAGAGCGGCGCACGGGGUGCGUAACGCGUAUGCAACCUACCUUUUACUGGGGAUAGCCCGGAGAAAUCUGGAUUAAUACCCCAUGGUAUCUAUGAAUCGAUUGGUUUAUAGUUUAAAGAUUUAUCGGUAAGAGAUGGGCAUGCGUCUGAUUAGCUAGUUGGCGGGGUAACGGCCCACCAAGGCGACGAUCAGUAGGGGUUCUGAGAGGAAGGUCCCCCACACUGGCACUGAGAUACGGGCCAGACUCCUACGGGAGGCAGCAGUAGGGAAUAUUGGGCAAUGGUCGCAAGACUGACCCAGCCAUGCCGCGUGCAGGAAGACGGCCCUCUGGGUUGUAAACUGCUUUUAUCUGGGAAGAAAAAGUCCUUGCGUGGAAAAUUGCCGGUACCAGAUGAAUAAGCACCGGCUAACUCCGUGCCAGCAGCCGCGGUAAUACGGAGGGUGCAAGCGUUGUCCGGAUUUAUUGGGUUUAAAGGGUGCGUAGGCGGCUGAAUAAGUCAGCGGUGAAAGACUUCGGCUUAACCGGAGCAGUGCCGUUGAUACUGUUUAGCUUGAGUGUUGGAGGGGUACA
RNAcentral lists this ribosomal RNA (658 nucleotides) under uncultured Crater Lake bacterium CL0-57. RNAcentral's name for it is "bacterial SSU rRNA". It matches the Rfam family "Bacterial small subunit ribosomal RNA", at positions 8 to 661 of the family's 1533-position model. The record is from RNAcentral.